Lolium perenne is the source of this 665-nucleotide non-coding RNA. The record is from RefSeq and is a predicted model, not a curated record. NCBI's taxonomy places the organism in Eukaryota, Viridiplantae, Streptophyta, Magnoliopsida, Poales, Poaceae.
UUCAAGGAUCUCUUCACUGAAUACUCUUCACAUGAAGAUGACUCAACACUAAAGAAUGACCAAGGAACCAGCAGUGUAGCAACUAUCGAUAACCCAUGGGAACAAUGGAAUAAACAAGUUCAAGAAGAGCAACAAAAUCGAGCAAAGCUGACUGAACUUACUAUAUAUUUGAAAGAUGUUGUUCACCCGCAAGAAGAAGGGUUUGAUAUACUAUGUUGGUGGUCUGCAAAUGCACAUAAGUACCCCAUCAUUUCUCGCAUAGCAAAGGAUGUAUUGGCUGCACCAGUAUCAACCGUAGCUUCUGAGUCCGCCUUCUCCACCGGAGGAAGAAUACUAAGUGACUAUAGGAGCCAUAUGAUAGGCUCUACUGUAGAGGCAUUAAUUUGUCUUCAAGACUGGUUGCGGCCUCCCGGAACUACUCAUGUCAACACAAUAACAAGUGAUGUUGUUUAUGCAAAGCGUGCUGAUAUUUAUGGAUCAAGGGAUGAUAUUUUUGAGGAAUGAUUGCAACAUUAGAGGGCCUGAAGAACUAUCCCAGACAAACCGGACCAAAGCUUACAACGCAGAACAUGCAUGAUGCUAAGGGGGUGGUGAAAACGGAAGCAAAUACCCAUGUGAAUACUUGAUGCAGAACUAAUACUUGAUUCAGUUAAGAUUGCAUGUUA